AACGUAGGACACAAGCGUUAUCCGGAGUUACUGGGCGUAAAGGGCGCGCAGGCGGAUCGGUAAGUCUACUCUGAAAGCUCCUGGCUAAACUGGGAGAGGCGAGUGGAGACUGUCGGUCUAGAGUGAGGAAGAGGAAAGUGGAAUUCCGCGUGUAGUGGUGAAAUGCGUAGAGAUGCGGAGGAACACCAGUGGCGAAAGCGGCUUUCUGGUCCUUAACUGACGCUGAGGCGCGAAAGCAUGGGGAGCGAACGGG
RNAcentral lists this ribosomal RNA (253 nucleotides) under uncultured bacterium. RNAcentral's name for it is "partial 16S ribosomal RNA". It matches the Rfam family "Bacterial small subunit ribosomal RNA", at positions 524 to 776 of the family's 1533-position model. The record is from RNAcentral.